UUAAGCGACUAAGCGUACACGGUGGAUGCCCUGGCAGUCAGAGGCGAUGAAGGACGUGCUAAUCUGCGAUAAGCGUCGGUAAGGUGAUAUGAACCGUUAUAACCGGCGAUUUCCGAAUGGGGAAACCCAGUGUGUUUCGACACACUAUCAUUAACUGAAUCCAUAGGUUAAUGAGGCGAACCGGGGGAACUGAAACAUCUAAGUACCCCGAGGAAAAGAAAUCAACCGAGAUUCCCCCAGUAGCGGCGAGCGAACGGGGAGCAGCCCAGAGCCUGAAUCAGUGUGUGUGUUAGUGGAAGCGUCUGGAAAGGCGCGCGAUACAGGGUGACAGCCCCGUACACAAAAAUGCACAUACUGUGAGCUCGAUGAGUAGGGCGGGACACGUGGUAUCCUGUCUGAAUAUGGGGGGACCAUCCUCCAAGGCUAAAUACUCCUGACUGACCGAUAGUGAACCAGUACCGUGAGGGAAAGGCGAAAAGAACCCCGGCGAGGGGAGUGAAAAAGAACCUGAAACCGUGUACGUACAAGCAGUGGGAGCACGCUUAGGCGUGUGACUGCGUACCUUUUGUAUAAUGGGUCAGCGACUUAUAUUCUGUAGCAAGGUUAACCGAAUAGGGGAGCCGAAGGGAAACCGAGUCUUAACUGGGCGUUAAGUUGCAGGGUAUAGACCCGAAACCCGGUGAUCUAGCCAUGGGCAGGUUGAAGGUUGGGUAACACUAACUGGAGGACCGAACCGACUAAUGUUGAAAAAUUAGCGGAUGACUUGUGGCUGGGGGUGAAAGGCCAAUCAAACCGGGAGAUAGCUGGUUCUCCCCGAAAGCUAUUUAGGUAGCGCCUCGUGAAUUCAUCUCCGGGGGUAGAGCACUGUUUCGGCAAGGGGGUCAUCCCGACUUACCAACCCGAUGCAAACUGCGAAUACCGGAGAAUGUUAUCACGGGAGACACACGGCGGGUGCUAACGUCCGUCGUGAAGAGGGAAACAACCCAGACCGCCAGCUAAGGUCCCAAAGUCAUGGUUAAGUGGGAAACGAUGUGGGAAGGCCCAGACAGCCAGGAUGUUGGCUUAGAAGCAGCCAUCAUUUAAAGAAAGCGUAAUAGCUCACUGGUCGAGUCGGCCUGCGCGGAAGAUGUAACGGGGCUAAACCAUGCACCGAAGCUGCGGCAGCGACGCUUAUGCGUUGUUGGGUAGGGGAGCGUUCUGUAAGCCUGCGAAGGUGUGCUGUGAGGCAUGCUGGAGGUAUCAGAAGUGCGAAUGCUGACAUAAGUAACGAUAAAGCGGGUGAAAAGCCCGCUCGCCGGAAGACCAAGGGUUCCUGUCCAACGUUAAUCGGGGCAGGGUGAGUCGACCCCUAAGGCGAGGCCGAAAGGCGUAGUCGAUGGGAAACAGGUUAAUAUUCCUGUACUUGGUGUUACUGCGAAGGGGGGACGGAGAAGGCUAUGUUGGCCGGGCGACGGUUGUCCCGGUUUAAGCGUGUAGGCUGGUUUUCCAGGCAAAUCCGGAAAAUCAAGGCUGAGGCGUGAUGACGAGGCACUACGGUGCUGAAGCAACAAAUGCCCUGCUUCCAGGAAAAGCCUCUAAGCAUCAGGUAACAUCAAAUCGUACCCCAAACCGACACAGGUGGUCAGGUAGAGAAUACCAAGGCGCUUGAGAGAACUCGGGUGAAGGAACUAGGCAAAAUGGUGCCGUAACUUCGGGAGAAGGCACGCUGAUAUGUAGGUGAGGUCCCUCGCGGAUGGAGCUGAAAUCAGUCGAAGAUACCAGCUGGCUGCAACUGUUUAUUAAAAACACAGCACUGUGCAAACACGAAAGUGGACGUAUACGGUGUGACGCCUGCCCGGUGCCGGAAGGUUAAUUGAUGGGGUUAGCGCAAGCGAAGCUCUUGAUCGAAGCCCCGGUAAACGGCGGCCGUAACUAUAACGGUCCUAAGGUAGCGAAAUUCCUUGUCGGGUAAGUUCCGACCUGCACGAAUGGCGUAAUGAUGGCCAGGCUGUCUCCACCCGAGACUCAGUGAAAUUGAACUCGCUGUGAAGAUGCAGUGUACCCGCGGCAAGACGGAAAGACCCCGUGAACCUUUACUAUAGCUUGACACUGAACAUUGAGCCUUGAUGUGUAGGAUAGGUGGGAGGCUUAGAAGUGUGGACGCCAGUCUGCAUGGAGCCGACCUUGAAAUACCACCCUUUAAUGUUUGAUGUUCUAACGUUGACCCGUAAUCCGGGUUGCGGACAGUGUCUGGUGGGUAGUUUGACUGGGGCGGUCUCCUCCUAAAGAGUAACGGAGGAGCACGAAGGUUGGCUAAUCCUGGUCGGACAUCAGGAGGUUAGUGCAAUGGCAUAAGCCAGCUUGACUGCGAGCGUGACGGCGCGAGCAGGUGCGAAAGCAGGUCAUAGUGAUCCGGUGGUUCUGAAUGGAAGGGCCAUCGCUCAACGGAUAAAAGGUACUCCGGGGAUAACAGGCUGAUACCGCCCAAGAGUUCAUAUCGACGGCGGUGUUUGGCACCUCGAUGUCGGCUCAUCACAUCCUGGGGCUGAAGUAGGUCCCAAGGGUAUGGCUGUUCGCCAUUUAAAGUGGUACGCGAGCUGGGUUUAGAACGUCGUGAGACAGUUCGGUCCCUAUCUGCCGUGGGCGCUGGAGAACUGAGGGGGGCUGCUCCUAGUACGAGAGGACCGGAGUGGACGCAUCACUGGUGUUCGGGUUGUCAUGCCAAUGGCACUGCCCGGUAGCUAAAUGCGGAAGAGAUAAGUGCUGAAAGCAUCUAAGCACGAAACUUGCCCCGAGAUGAGUUCUCCCUGACUCCUUGAGAGUCCUGAAGGAACGUUGAAGACGACGACGUUGAUAGGCCGGGUGUGUAAGCGCAGCGAUGCGUUGAGCUAACCGGUACUAAUGAACCGUGAGGCUUAACCUU
RNAcentral lists this ribosomal RNA (2902 nucleotides) under Escherichia coli. Its description in RNAcentral is "bacterial LSU rRNA". It matches the Rfam family "Bacterial large subunit ribosomal RNA". The record is from RNAcentral. Lineage: Bacteria; Pseudomonadati; Pseudomonadota; Gammaproteobacteria; Enterobacterales; Enterobacteriaceae.